This is a long non-coding RNA of Helianthus annuus (common sunflower), 1678 nucleotides long. RefSeq lists it as uncharacterized. The transcript has 2 exons. The record is from RefSeq and is a predicted model, not a curated record. NCBI's taxonomy places the organism in Eukaryota, Viridiplantae, Streptophyta, Magnoliopsida, Asterales, Asteraceae.
UUGUGUAGUUGCAAACAAAUAAAUAUUUGUUUGGUUUCACUUUUAAAUCUUUCUCUAAAUUCUCUCUUUGAAUAUUCGAAAUGACAUUCCAAACCUCAAACCUUAUUUCACUUUGAUUUUCCUUCAUUUGCAUCCCAUGAUAGCAAAGUUGUCAAUACUAAACAACUUUAUAUAGAAACUUCUUAGUUAUAAAAAUUAUAUUUCCCACAAUUUUAAUUUUGUGUCAGUAGAGGAGUAAACUGUAAAAGAGAAACACAAUGACAUCUCAUCAUAUUCGCCUAAGUCUCUUCAGUGUCCACAUGUUCAAAUUACCUAGAUGUUUAUAUUUUAUUUUAAUCAUUUUUCUAUAGUGGUUUCGAGGUGAUAUGCAAAACACCAAAACCAUCUCUGAAUUUCAAAACCUUUUCAUCUUCUUUUAGGCUAUUUGGUUUUAAGUCAUUCCCACCAUAACAGGUGAAAAGUCGAGAGGACAUGGAAGAUUUGAAGAUAUCUGAAGGACAUGGAAGAUUUGAAGAUAUCUGAACUUAGACUGUGGUGUGUGUGGCGUGGGUUGGGGCGGCGGUUUGGCCGUUUGGGUUCAACGCUGGCUGCUUCACCUCGGGUUGGCGUUGGGGCUGGCAUUGCCAUUUGGCGUGGAGAUUGAGCCUAGCGGGGCGGGGGGGGGGGUGUUGACAUGGCUGGCUUUGGUUGGCUGGUUCGAUCUAGCCGUUGGGGGUAACCGUUGCCAAACCAAAAAAAAUCCACAUGGCUGGCCACGUCAAUCUAAGCCACGCCACACCCCUAGUUUUUGAGUAUUACCUCUUGGAUCCCACCCUCGCCACGUGUCGAGCAAUGCCCCCAACCGGAGCCCCUCCACACCCCUUAGUCUUAAUACCAUGCUAAAGCCAUCUCUAAUUGUCUGGGGUCGGUUCGGGUUUAACCGGGGUCGGGUUAACUCAUUUGCUCAGCAUGGUCCUCACCGCAACUACAAAAGCCAUCAUCACCAAACACUUGCGGAUCAAUUCCCAAUCUGUUCUCUCUCUCUCUUUCUAUACUACUUUACCAACUUCAAAUCUCUUUCUAUACUACUUUACAAACUUCAAAACUAAACACGUAAGCUAAUAGAUAUAUAAACAUUUUCAAAAAAAAUCUUUAAAAGAUUAGGAUUAGAUCAGUAAAUGUAUCAUAACAAAGAGGAAUUAAACCGCCAUGGCUGCAUCCUUCUUGGCAGAAACCAAAAAAUCUGUUCAAUUUCCAACGGAAAAUGCCACGCCAAGAUGCGGCAAAUCUCAACUUUGAACGAUUUACUCAGACAACAAAAAAAAUAAUCAUCACCGCCUUCAUCUUGCCACGAAGAACAACCAACAGCAUCAAUAAAAAAUAGAAAUAACUAAACCAAUAGACUCAGAUCUAAUAGAUCGUCAUCGUCUUGACGAUCAUCUUCAGCGGUGAAACAACAACAAUACCAGUGGCGCUAACAACAAAACCACAGACUAACCCAACAUUAAACCACAUAAUGCAAAGAAAACUAAAAACCAAAACACCGACUUGAAGCCGGAACCUCCUGCAACGGUGGUGCAAUACCCAUUAACCCAUUUCUCUCUCUAACACCACACAUUCCCCUUUCUAUCAUUGAUAACAACAGAUCUGCGCCGUACGGAUCGGGCAGCGAUGUAUAGUUGCCAAGCAAUUUAGAGAG